UGAGGAGUCGACUAACAGGCUAAGUCGGCGGGUUUUGGUCCCGCAAACCGGGGUUCGAGUCCUCGCUCCUCAG
This 73-nucleotide transfer RNA is filed under the name Patulibacter medicamentivorans. It matches the Rfam family "tRNA". Rfam says of the family: Transfer RNA (tRNA) molecules are approximately 80 nucleotides in length. Their secondary structure includes four short double-helical elements and three loops (D, anti-codon, and T loops). Further hydrogen bonds mediate the characteristic L-shaped molecular structure. tRNAs have two regions of fundamental functional importance: the anti-codon, which is responsible for specific mRNA codon recognition, and the 3' end, to which the tRNAs corresponding amino acid is attached (by aminoacyl-tRNA synthetases). tRNAs cope with the degeneracy of the genetic code in two manners: having more than one tRNA (with a specific anti-codon) for a particular amino acid; and 'wobble' base-pairing, i.e. permitting non-standard base-pairing at the 3rd anti-codon position. Lineage: Bacteria; Bacillati; Actinomycetota; Thermoleophilia; Solirubrobacterales; Patulibacteraceae. The record is from Rfam by way of RNAcentral.